UACGAAGGGGGCUAGCGUUGCUCGGAAUCACUGGGCGUAAAGGGCGCGUGGGCGGCCGAUUAAGUCGGGGGUGAAAGCCUGUGGCUCAACCACAGAAUUGCCUUCGAUACUGGUUGGCUUGAGACCGGAAGAGGACAGCGGAACUGCGAGUGUAGAGGUGAAAUUCGUAGAUAUUCGCAAGAACACCAGUGGCGAAGGCGGCUGUCUGGUCCGGUUCUGACGCUGAGGCGCGAAAGCGUGGGGAGCAAAC
This 250-nucleotide ribosomal RNA is filed under the name uncultured prokaryote. RNAcentral describes it as "partial 16S ribosomal RNA". It matches the Rfam family "Bacterial small subunit ribosomal RNA", at positions 524 to 773 of the family's 1533-position model. The record is from RNAcentral.